This 254-nucleotide ribosomal RNA is filed under the name uncultured bacterium. RNAcentral's name for it is "partial 16S ribosomal RNA". It matches the Rfam family "Bacterial small subunit ribosomal RNA", at positions 524 to 776 of the family's 1533-position model. The record is from RNAcentral.
UACGUAGGGGGCAAGCGUUGUCCGGAUUUAUUGGGCGUAAAGAGCUCGUAGGCGGUUUGGUAAGUCGGGUGUGAAAUCUCCACGCUCAACGUGGAGGGGCCACUCGAUACUGCCAUGACUCGAGUCCGGUAGAGGAGUGUGGAAUUCCCGGUGUAGCGGUGAAAUGCGCAGAUAUCAGGAGGAACACCGGUGGCGAAGGCGGGUCUCUGGGCCGAUACUGACGCUGAGGAGCGAAAGCGUGGGGAGCGAACAGG